GAUGCAGGAUCGACUAUGUCGAAUAAAAUUCUAGGUAGAAUUAUGAUAAUGACAUUGUCUGCCUAUGUGUCUUGACCAAAUUACGUGCCAGCAGUCGCGGUAAUACGUAGAAGACUAGUGUUAUUCAUGUUUAAUCGGUUUAAAGGGUACCUAGACGGUAAAUCAAGCCUAAAAUUAAAUGAAGGGACUAAUUUACUAGAGUUACUUAUGAGGGGGUAUUAAAGUACUGCUGGUGUAGAGAUGAAAUUCUGUCAUACCUCUUUUCUAUAGAAAAAUAAUGGCACAGGUAUAGGCGAAAGCAUCCCCUUAUGUGAUAACUGACGUUGAGGGACGAAGGCUUUGUGUAGCGAACAGGAUUAGAUACCCCCGUAGUCAAAGCAGAAAAUGAUGAAUGUCAUAGAUUAGAUAAAUAAGUUUAUUCUAUAAAUGAAAGUGUAAGCAUUCCACCUCAAGAGUAAUUUGGCAACAUUGGAACUGAAAUCAUUAGACCGUUUCUGAAACCAGUAGUGAAGUAUGUUGUUUAAUUUGAUGAUCCGCAAAAAACCUUACCACAAUUUGAAUAUUUAUAUCUUUUAUUGUUUUUUUUUAUUUUCUUCUCUUCUGAUUUGAUUUUUCUAAAGAAAAAAAGAAAAAGAGGCGAUAUGAUAUAUUUACAAGCGUUGCACGGCUGUCUUCAGUUAAUGUCGCGAGACUUUGGUUAGUUCCAUUAAAUUAACGUAAACCCUUACUUUAUUUUUAUAUAGAGUAGUUCCCCGCUAUAUUGGAUAUGAUAACAGGGACUAAGACAAGUCAUCAUGGCCUAAAUAUUGUGGGCUAUAGACGUGCCACAUAAGCCUUACAAAAGGGUGUG
RNAcentral lists this ribosomal RNA (850 nucleotides) under Usnea subfloridana. RNAcentral's name for it is "SSU rRNA". It matches the Rfam family "Bacterial small subunit ribosomal RNA", at positions 404 to 1251 of the family's 1533-position model. The record is from RNAcentral. Lineage: Eukaryota; Fungi; Ascomycota; Lecanoromycetes; Lecanorales; Parmeliaceae.